Molecule: unclassified non-coding RNA, 396 nt
Filed under: soil metagenome
Description: partial contains 5.8S ribosomal RNA, internal transcribed spacer 2, and large subunit ribosomal RNA
Rfam family: 5.8S ribosomal RNA (bases 2-121)
Source: RNAcentral
GGAUGAAGAACGUAGCGAAAUGCGAUAAGUAAUGUGAAUUGCAGAAUUCAGUGAAUCAUCGAAUCUUUGAACGCACCUUGCGCCUUUUGGUAUUCCGAAAGGCACACCUGUUUGAGCGUCAUGAAUACCUCAAUCUCCAUCUUUUCUUCGGAUUGAUGGGUGACUUGGAUGUUGAGCCCUGCUGGUAUGCUAUAUCAGCUGGCUUUAAACUUAUUAGCCGGCUCUGUACUGGAUCGGUUUGACUCGACGUGAUAAUAUUAUCGUUGAGGAUGCAUGUCUCAUGCAGCCGGAAAGUAUCAAAGCAGCUUCUAGCUUGCCUUUAGUGCACUUUUACAUUUUAGACCUCAGAUCAGGUAGGACUACCCGCUGAACUUAAGCAUAUCAAUAAGCGGAGGA